Long non-coding RNA from Syngnathoides biaculeatus (alligator pipefish), 960 nucleotides. RefSeq lists it as uncharacterized. The record is from RefSeq and is a predicted model, not a curated record. NCBI's taxonomy places the organism in Eukaryota, Metazoa, Chordata, Actinopteri, Syngnathiformes, Syngnathidae. The transcript has 3 exons.
UGGAAGCAACAAGUGAGUGGGAAACAUAACUGGACUGUUUUUUCUUGUUUUUGGGAUGAUUAUGAUUGUCAAAAUGACAUAACAACACGUGGGCAACACUGCAUAUGAGUACACAUUGGCUUUGAUUUUGGAUAUUUUUGUUCAUUUUAAUUUGAGUGUUAAGUGAAUGGACCAAAUGCCUGCAAGUGGAUGACAUUCCUUUGGGCUAUUUUUUUUUCUUUUUUUGGGAAUUAUUGACUGUCUAAACAACACAACUCCACUUUGUGAGCAUUAUAAGGACACGAGGGAGAACUGUCAGCAGCACCAGAAAGCGACACUAUGAAUGACAGAUCCACUAGGCCAAUGUUGACUCUACCUGCUGGCACACCCAUCCCUUUCCAGCAGGAAGAUGGCACUUGGAAACCAGCGACAGUCACUCGACCAGCUGAGAGACACCAUAAAGCUACCACAUCCAGAAUAGUGAUUGCCAGUCCUUCAGACGCAACUGGUGACAUCGGCAGCACAACAGCGUAACUACCACAGAGCAACCAGAAAUCAAUGAGGGCAACUCCAGUUCUCGGGAAGAGGACCCAGAUGCACAACAUCUUCACACCAGGCAGAGACAGUAACUGAAUUGGAGCAGAGCAAAGCAUUUCUUCAUUGCAGUCAGAAGCAGUUACUUAAUACUAUUUACAAUUAUUUCUACAUUAUCCUCCUGUUUAUCCUACAUUUGCUCAUAUCCUUAAAUCAUCUAAUAGAUCACCCUUUCGGCUUACAUUCGGAGGAAAAUAUAGCACUAAUUACUUGUAAUCUUCUGGAUCAGAGAACAGGUCUGGAAGAGAAGUCAUAACGUCAUCAUCGUGGUCAACAAUAUCACUGUCUUUACUCUGUUGUGCCAAUAAUGGAUAUAUAUGUGCCAAUUUUCAAUUUGUCGGGGCAAUAGCAGUGGUUAUAAGUUGGUUAAGUGAUGCCUUUAUGCAG